GCCUGGGUAGCUCAGUUUGGUUAGAGCACCGGUCUGUGGAACCGGGGGUCGCGGGUUCAAAUCCCGCCCCAGGCC
RNAcentral lists this transfer RNA (75 nucleotides) under Candidatus Bathyarchaeota archaeon. RNAcentral's name for it is "tRNA-His". It matches the Rfam family "tRNA". From Rfam's summary of the family: Transfer RNA (tRNA) molecules are approximately 80 nucleotides in length. Their secondary structure includes four short double-helical elements and three loops (D, anti-codon, and T loops). The record is from RNAcentral. Lineage: Archaea; Thermoproteati; Candidatus Bathyarchaeota.